Molecule: ribosomal RNA, 492 nt
Filed under: uncultured bacterium
Lineage: Bacteria
Description: partial 16S ribosomal RNA
Rfam family: Bacterial small subunit ribosomal RNA
Source: RNAcentral
AGUGAACGCUGGCGGUAGGCCUAACACAUGCAAGUCGAACGGCAGCACAGUAAGAGCUUGCUCUUACGGGUGGCGAGUGGCGGACGGGUGAGGAAUACAUCGGAAUCUACUUUUUCGUGGGGGAUAACGUAGGGAAACUUACGCUAAUACCGCAUACGACCUACGGGUGAAAGCAGGGGAUCUUCUGACCUUGCGCGAUUGAAUGAGCCGAUGUCGGAUUAGCUAGUUGGCGGGGUAAAGGCCCACCAAGGCGACGAUCCGUAGCUGGUCUGAGAGGAUGAUCAGCCACACUGGAACUGAGACACGGUCCAGACUCCUACGGGAGGCAGCAGUGGGGAAUAUUGGACAAUGGGCGCAAGCCUGAUCCAGCCAUACCGCGUGGGUGAAGGAGGCCUUCGGGUUGUAAAGCCCUUUUGUUGGGAAAAAAAAGCAGCAGGUUAAUACCCCGCUGUUCUGACGGUACCCAAAGAAUAAGCACCGGCUAACUUCGUG